UUGCUAUCUGCGAUAUGGAAGAUUCGAACCUGCCGCAGGUCCGGGUCUCACGCAGUGAGACAACGGAGCCGCUUGCGGCGACGGCCCGAAGGGCGAGCGAAGCGAGUCAUCCUGCACGACCCACCA
Molecule: small RNA, 126 nt
Filed under: Salmonella enterica subsp. enterica serovar Infantis
Lineage: Bacteria; Pseudomonadati; Pseudomonadota; Gammaproteobacteria; Enterobacterales; Enterobacteriaceae
Also listed under: 12 other names
Description: RtT sRNA
Rfam family: RtT RNA
About the family: This family represents a bacterial cis-regulatory element known as RtT RNA. The exact function of RtT is unknown although it is thought that it may be involved in changing the cellular response in relation to amino acid starvation.
Source: RNAcentral